Molecule: ribosomal RNA, 402 nt
Filed under: uncultured bacterium
Lineage: Bacteria
Description: bacterial SSU rRNA
Rfam family: Bacterial small subunit ribosomal RNA
Source: RNAcentral
UGGGGAAUCUUGGACAAUGGGCGCAAGCCUGAUCCAGCCAUGCCGCGUGAGUGAAGAAGGCCCUAGGGUUGUAAAGCUCUUUCGGCGGGGACGAUAAUGACGGUACCCGCAGAAGAAGCCCCGGCUAACUCCGUGCCAGCAGCCGCGGUAAUACGGAGGGGGCUAGCGUUGUUCGGAAUUACUGGGCGUAAAGCGCACGUAGGCGGGUCGUUAAGUCGGGGGUGAAAGCCCUCGGCUCAACCGGGGAACUGCGUUCGAUACUGGGAGACUUGAGUCCUGGAGAGGGUGGCGGAAUUCCGGGUGUAGGAGUGAAAUCCGUAGAUAUCCGGAGGAACACCGGUGGCGAAGGCGGCCACCUGGACAGGUACUGACGCUGAGGCGCGAAAGCGUGGGGAGCAAACA